GGCAGUGGGAAGCGCUGCGAGAGCGGUGGGCCCAGAGAGCCUGGGCACCCGCCAGCGGCCUGCUCCGCUGCCGGCACCGCUGGGCGCUUUGCUGGGUCCCAGGCACAAAGCAGAACCCAGGUGGGCUUCUGCUGUAAGGAGAGCAAAAUGAUGCCAUGCCCCAAAGGCAUACAGCCGCUCUUUGAAGCUCCUAGAGAUGCCACAAUACAAACUCCAUUUCUUUUAUAAUUCUGAACUCUGGGAAGCUGGAGAAGAUGAAGCAUUUUGGAAACUGUAAGAAGAAAGAAACAAAGAAAAUUACCUGAUGGGAGAGAAAAUGAGAGAAAUGGGAAAAAAUCCCAGACAAUCAAGUUGAAGGCCAAGAGCUCCAAAAAGAGGCAAGAUCCAAAACAUGAACAGCUCUCAAGCAAACCAGCCUUUCCAUUCCCUCUGGUGGGAUGUGGAGCAGGCAGUUUUCCCAUCAGAAACUGCAGGACUCAUUUCUGCUGUCGUAGGGCUUUGUAACAAGAGUUUAAUCAGACACACUUCUGCAGAGUGGGGGAAUAACAGUGGUCGUUUGUUGUUUCUCUAACUUUCAGCAAGGUUGCAUGGGCUGCAGCUGACUGCUGCUAGCAGGAGCUAAGCCCAGCCGUGUUUCACACCAAAGGAAGGUUACACAAUGCUGUGGGUGGCAGAGUAUUUCUGGGAGGCCCACUUUGCUGCGGACUUUUCUUGCAUCACUUCCUGAAAUAGAGAUUGACUGAUGUGAUAUAUUCUUACUUUUAGUCGUUUGGGUUUUUUUUUUCUCAAACUACACUUUAUACUUGCCUGCUGUUUGCAGAGUUGCCUUUUGAAGAGAAGAUCAUAAAGGCUCAAAUCAAGGUGCACUCCUUGAUUUGAUUUUAACAUGAGUUCUCCCUGAUUCGUCCGUUUUUUUUCUCUGUUCUUCUGGCAUCUCAGAAUGGAAACUCUGCCAAAGCACUGAAUAAAAAGGGAAUUAUAUCCUCUGCAA
This is a long non-coding RNA of Haemorhous mexicanus (house finch), 991 nucleotides long. RefSeq lists it as uncharacterized. The record is from RefSeq and is a predicted model, not a curated record. The transcript is spliced from 2 exons. Lineage: Eukaryota; Metazoa; Chordata; Aves; Passeriformes; Fringillidae.